Molecule: transfer RNA, 66 nt
Filed under: Synapturanus sp. MZUSP 159215
Lineage: Eukaryota; Metazoa; Chordata; Amphibia; Anura; Microhylidae
Description: tRNA-Tyr
Rfam family: tRNA
About the family: Transfer RNA (tRNA) molecules are approximately 80 nucleotides in length.
Source: RNAcentral
GAUGAAGUGGCUGAGUAGGCGGUGGGUUGUAGCCCCGAGGACAGAGGUUGAGCCCUCUCUUUAUCA